Molecule: RNA transcript, 427 nt
Organism: Peromyscus maniculatus bairdii (prairie deer mouse)
Lineage: Eukaryota; Metazoa; Chordata; Mammalia; Rodentia; Cricetidae
Source: RefSeq, a predicted model, not a curated record
CACACUGUAAUCCCAGGGCUAGGAAGGUAGAGACGGGCAGAUCCCUGAGGCUCCCUGGUCAGCUAGCCUAGACUACUUGGAGAGUUUCAGGAUGAGAUGAUGAUGAUGAUGAUGAUGAUGAUGAUGAUAACGAUGAUGAAAAAAUGAAAAGAAGAGAAUGGCACCUGAAGAACAACUCCUGAGUUUGUCCUCUGGCCUCCACAGCUCCUGGAUAUUUGAAGCAGCCCCAGGACAGUGGGAACUCAACAGUGCUUAGUAAUCAACUCUCCUGGACAUUUGAAGUGAGCCCCAGCAAAAGUCCACAAAAGAAGCCUGGGUUUCCAAGAAGGGGAGAUAAUUAGAAGCCCCCAAGUCUGCUUAGGUGAGUAAUUUCGAGGGUCUUUUCUAGGUUAUACACUGACAGCCACUCAGAGGGAAACUGCAGGAC